Long non-coding RNA from Leopardus geoffroyi (Geoffroy's cat), 465 nucleotides. RefSeq lists it as uncharacterized. The record is from RefSeq and is a predicted model, not a curated record. The transcript is spliced from 2 exons. Lineage: Eukaryota; Metazoa; Chordata; Mammalia; Carnivora; Felidae.
AGCGGCAGCAGCUUACCACAAAGAAAGCAGUCCAUAUCUUCAAGUCUUAGGGCCAGGACUCUGGAAUUCCAAAAGGUGAGAAAACAAAAUAAAACUAGGCAACAUCGGCAUCCCCAGUUUAUAAGAAGAGUUAUCAAGCUCCAGAUCUGUCUCAGGAUCUCAUGAUCUGCAGCAAUCUCCAUCCCUGAUGUCACCCAGUAACAAAGAAAACACAAGAAGGAAAAGACUGCGGCUACUCAUGUGCAGCUAUUCUUACCUGCUUGUUCUAAUGAUGCAAGCUUUCAUGUUGUGAGCUGCCCCAUAAGGAGUCCCAUGUGGUAAGGAACUGAGGAAGACCACAGAUUGACAACUAGCAAGCAAUUUUAAAAGAAUUUCUAUGAAAUGAUUAUGCCCCAUUUGUUAUCACCUCUUUAAUAACUCGACACAUAAGUUUGUAGUUACAUAAAAUAAAAAUAUAAAAUGCAA